GAUGAACGCUGGCGGCGUGCCUAAUACAUGCAAGUCGAGCGAACAGACGAGGAGCUUGCUCCUUUGACGUUAGCGGCGGACGGGUGAGUAACACGUAGGUAACCUACCUAUAAGACUGGGAUAACUUCGGGAAACCGGAGCUAAUACCGGAUAAUAUUUCGAACCGCAUGGUUCGAUAGUGAAAGAUGGCUUUGCUAUCACUUAUAGAUGGACCUGCGCCGUAUUAGCUAGUUGGUAAGGUAACGGCUUACCAAGGCAACGAUACGUAGCCGACCUGAGAGGGUGAUCGGCCACCCUGGAACUGAGCCACGGUCCAGACUCCUACGGGAGGCAGCAGUAGGGAAUCUUCCGCAAUGGGCGAAAGCCUGACGGAGCAACGCCGCGUGAGUGAUGAAGGUCUUCGGAUCGUAAAACUCUGUUAUUAGGGAAGAACAAACGUGUAAGUAACUGUGCACGUCUUGACGGUACCUAAUCAGAAAGCCACGGCUAACUACGUG
This 497-nucleotide ribosomal RNA is filed under the name uncultured bacterium. RNAcentral describes it as "partial 16S ribosomal RNA". It matches the Rfam family "Bacterial small subunit ribosomal RNA", at positions 28 to 507 of the family's 1533-position model. The record is from RNAcentral.